Molecule: small nucleolar RNA, 107 nt
Filed under: Sorghum bicolor (sorghum)
Lineage: Eukaryota; Viridiplantae; Streptophyta; Magnoliopsida; Poales; Poaceae
Description: Plant small nucleolar RNA R71
Rfam family: Plant small nucleolar RNA R71
About the family: R71 is a member of the C/D box family of snoRNAs containing the C (UGAUGA) and D (CUGA) box motifs. Multiple nearly identical copies of this snoRNA have been identified in Arabidopsis, and it is thought to function as a 2'-O-ribose methylation guide for 18S ribosomal RNA.
Source: Rfam by way of RNAcentral
AUUCCAUGAUGAAGACAAUCUUGAAUGUAUCCAUGCAAAUGCUCUCUGGCUUCUAAAAUGGUUUCUGUCUUCUGCUGUUGCAAAUUGGUACUCUUUCCUCUCAAGGC